RNAcentral lists this long non-coding RNA (1715 nucleotides) under Triticum aestivum (bread wheat). RNAcentral's name for it is "long non-coding RNA (TAES_LNC015602)". The record is from RNAcentral. Lineage: Eukaryota; Viridiplantae; Streptophyta; Magnoliopsida; Poales; Poaceae.
UGCCAAUGUGUCAUCAUGUGUUUCCAUGAUUUUUGCAAACCUUUAAUAUAUCCCCGGGUUCCUUUUCUUCUAUGCUAGAAUUGGUUUGGAAAAACUGUAUGCAACUAUGGCCAUGAAAUUGUAUUAAGAAUUAUGCAAGGAGUGAGUCAUCAUUUCUUGAAUGGGUUUGCAGUUCUAGCUCUUUGUAUACCACACAAUAUUGUGUCAUGUCUUGAUAUUAUUAUAACUUUAAUAUGGUCCAAACACACACAACUUCCUACAGAAAACUUACUAUGAAUUUUCUUUUGGCAACGUUUAUGAAACACAAAUGAAGUAAGAUGCCAGAAAUCAAUUGAAGAAAUUGAUGGAAAUUAGUAGAAAAUUAUCUUUCUAACAUUUCAGUAUUAGCAAACUGAUUCUAAUGAGAAUAGUAGAUUUGUAUACGCCAUACAGUAGGGUGUGGAUUCAUUCCUUAAGGCUGGCUUAUAAUUAUGUUCUAAUUAUAGUUUCUGUGUCAGCCCAUUCUCAUUCAUUGUAUACUUUUAAUGAUAACAGAGCGGCUUCUUUUAUAAAUUCUUAGCUUCUUUUAUAGAUUCUUAGUUACUCAUGUAUGCAGGUCAGCAUCAAGGCUAUGAAGCGAAAGAUCAGACAAAGGUUUUUGCCAUGUUUGUCCUUCAGCUUAGUAACUGUACGUCUAGUUCUUUCCCCUAUUGUAGUCCUUUUAUUUGCACCGUACUUCUUGAAAGAUGAUAACUUGCAAUCAUUAUUGUAGAGUGGCCGUGCUUCUAUUUAUAUUUCUGAAAUAAACUGAAAUUUCAUUUGCAUCUCUAUAACUUCAUUUUGUUAAUAAAAAGGUUUGAUUAAUAAGCAGUGCAAUUACAUGGCUUUAUCCUUAUUUCCCAUUGUAUCAUGUCUCCACUUCUAUCUAACAGGGAUCGUAGCUCUUGCUAUAGUUGUAAGUUGUGAUCUUAAAUGUAUUUUUUUUUGAUAUCGUGAUCCUAAAUGUAAACUUGAUGGUGCUGAAAUUACAAAUGAAUUCUCGGCAGUGCAUGUUGAUAUGGCACUUGUGAAAACUGAAGAUUUGGUACGGAGUCGUAAAACGUGUAAUAUUCUCGGUAAUGCAGAAAAACAAAGAUUGCAUUGCCUUCAACCUUUGUACGUGACAUAUCGUGCCUAUAUCACUACUUGCAUCAUGUCAAUGCAUUCUGUGUUAACAAUUCAUUUUGUUAUUUUCUUUGUAGAUUCAAAAGAUAUAUGGCUGAUUAUAUGGUUGCGUGGCAAGAAUACUGCAAUGAUGAUGAUGGUGUUCUACUGUUCUGGUUCAUGAUGAUGAUGAUAAUGACGACAGAUGCUUUUAGUUGUAGCUAAGUUGUAGGGAUGUUGUUCCUGUUGGAUGAUGUUCGUGUUCCUCAGUUAAGUUUUUGUUAAGUUGUAGGGAUGUUGAUGGAUGCUUUCAGUUUAAGUUUUAAUGUCAAGAAAAUAUUUAGAUUAUGUAUCACAAUUGGAUGAAGUUCCUCAUGUAAUAUCUACUAUUGUAAUCCAGCAGUUCUAUCCAAUAUAUGAUUUCGGAUUUCGUCCUGUGUAUAUUCCUUUUUUUUCCUCACUUGAUAUACAUAAUUAUUACCAUUAUGUGGAACAUUAAUUUAAUAGCUGGGAUUAUAGAUAUUCACAUUAUAUAUGUACUAGUCGCAAAUUCUUGUUACCAAGCAAUGAGAUUUGGAUUCCUGUAUAUUAAG